UUUCCUACGGGACGCAGCAGUGGGGAAUAUUGGGCAAUGGGCGCAAGCCUGACCCAGCAACGCCGCGUGAAGGAAGAAGGCUUUCGGGUUGUAAACUUCUUUUAAGGGGGAAGAGCAGAAGACGGUACCCCUUGAAUAAGCCACGGCUAACUACGUGCCAGCAGCCGCGGUAAUACGUAGGUGGCAAGCGUCGUCCGGAUUUACUGGGUGUAAAGGGCGUGCAGCCGGAGAGACAAGUCAGAUGUGAAAUCCACGGGCUCAACCCGUGAACUGCAUUUGAAACUGUUUCACUUGAGUGUCGGAGG
RNAcentral lists this ribosomal RNA (305 nucleotides) under uncultured bacterium. RNAcentral describes it as "bacterial SSU rRNA". It matches the Rfam family "Bacterial small subunit ribosomal RNA", at positions 335 to 655 of the family's 1533-position model. The record is from RNAcentral.